UGUGCGACCAGCGAAACAACCGCAAACGGUUCUAGAUUGAAUUCAUUUAAGCAUCUGCCGAAGCAGCACAGCAACUGAAACUUAUAGAAAUAAACUCUGGCUGCUGCUACCAGUGAUGCUUGGACUCAUGUGGAGAGAGUGGCGUUAGGUUUAGCAACAUUUUAUAAAAAGACUGAAUAUUGUUGUAAAAGUAGAGAUUAAGCCUGCUUGCUUUUUUUUAUCUCAGCCAGUGGCGUCAAAUUUUUAGGCCUAUACGUUUUGUAAAAACCAUAGGCUACUCCUUGCUGCUGUUAUGGAUAUAUUUAAAAAGUCGGAAGAGACUGCUUUGUAUGGGAUUGUUAUGUUAAAGGUCUUGGCACAUUAUAAAUUCAUUUCCCCCUCAAUGGUUGUGACGGGGUUUAUAGGUAAAGGCUUUUUCAGACAGCUUGGAUCCGCGGGGUCGCUCUGCGCUCCUCAGAACUCAACAGACAGGCAGACAAGCGCUCUAUGGGUGGUAACAAUUGCAACGGCUUCUGUGUACUGUUGGGCGCGGCGGCGGGCGGGGGCAGCUGAGGCUGCAGCCUCAUGAUAAACAGUCCCAGCCCUGUCCCAACAUUACCUUAUCCAUCACGUCUCAGCAUGCUCAACACAUAACAUUACAUUAUAGGACCCACCACUCUCGAUAGUAGUAUUGAUAAGCUCGGACCUUUUUGAUUUUCGGCUUUUGAGAAAUUGUGGAACCGGGUCUCGAUCCCCAUCCCUACUUACCACUAGCUAAACUGAUUAGCAUGUUAGCCGACAUAUAAGUUAACCAACUAAGUUGUCACCGAGAUUCUGGUCGGGUCUUUAAACUAUUGCAGUUACUGUUUGUACCAAACGCAGGCAUGUGAUUGGACAAAAAAAGCAGGACAAUAUACUGAGAUACUGAUCGGUUCAGGAGGUAUUGAUAACGGAUAGCUGAUUGAUUGUGUCUGUAUCUGCCAGUCUUCACUCAGACCCCGAUCCUUCAGGCUCUGCUGCACGUUCAGGCCAGCGGUGACGAGGACACGCACGCACUCACACACUGACGGGUGACAUCACUGCGGCAGCUGUUGAUAUCACUUCCUCCUCCUGCAGGAGUACGAAGACUCCCAGACAAAGCCUCCUAAGUCCUGCCGUGAGGCUCUGGCCUCCUCGCCUCGCUCCCGGAAAGGAGCAGCUCAGGAGCGCCUCGGUACGUAGCCCCACCUCCACCUGUGUGAAGACAACCUGAAUCUGUGUCUCGUUCUUGGAUUGGUCCGUUUCAAAACCACACGGAAAUAUUUUAAUAUGUUUUGAUUUGUGAAACCAGGAAGCAGCUUUGUGUCUUCACCAAGCAGGAACCUCCAGGUUUGAAAAGUGAAGCCUCAAACCUGCAUUCUCUCUAACAUAAGUCACUAUGUGUGACCGAAAUAUGGAUGUUCAGGACGGAGCUGAACACCUUUUCUCAGCUGGACAGCCCCCCUCUCUGUUCUAUUGCAGGUUUCGUAUUUCUCACCCACGAAGUGCCCAUUAAACAAAAGCCAUAUCGUGUAUCAUCAACCAAGCGUCAGACAAUUAAAGAGCAUGUGGAGGAAAAGUUGAAAAAUAACAUCAUAGAGCCAUCAACCUCACCUUAUGCUGCUCAAGUGGUCUUGGUACCAAAAAGAAUGAUGCCAAACCAAGUGCGAAAAUGAACCAGACAUUGCUGUGGUCACUGACACUGACGUUCCUGGUGCGAUCCACUUUAACCCAAGUGAAAGGUGGCUGUGGAUGGAUCUGUCUGCUUCUCUGGGGAUGGUGAUGGCGCUGUGGAUAAGACAUAUGCCUUUGGUGUGACAGACCUGGGUUUGAUUCCACACUGACACAUCCACCAAUGUCUCCCUAAGCAGUACACUUAACCCUUAGUUGCUCCAGAGGCGUGCGACCUCUGACAUAUAUAGCUAUUGUAAGUUGCUUUGGAUGAAAGUGUCAGCUAAAUGAAUAAAUGUAACAUUUACAAACUCCUGAAAGCACCUCUGAACUGUCCAUCUAUAUACUCAGUAUGUUUACUGCAAGUUUACAGCGAGGGAUAUUCAAAGCAAAGGUUUCUGCUCACUGUUCUUUUUUUAUAUUGUUCCAUUACCUCUUCUAUGUGACUUAACAAUUUGGGAUUGUGGGAUUUCUUAUUUUAAACAAUCUUUAUUAGCUAUCUUUAUUUGUUUAUGACUCCAUAAAAGUUUAAUUUCUUUUAUUUAUUUAUUUUAAUUUAUUGGUCAUUUUUUUCUUACUCCGCAUUUAAAGCUCCCUUUUAUAUUAUAUAAGUAAAAGUGCUGCUGAUGGAAUAAAAUGAUGCAUUUCACAAAACACAGUAAAGUAAGUAGUAAAAGGAAAUUUUGUUUAGCUCAAAGGACUUUGCUCAAGAGAUUCAAGUUAUUAUCACUUAACACCAAAAAAAUCUCAUUAAGAAUCUGGAAAUAGAGAAUGUUCAACAUUAUUGCAAAUAAAAAAUGAAAACAAACUGAUUAUCACAGUUGUUGCAGGUUAUUUAUCUGAUCAAGCAGUCAGUUACUUACAGCUUUAUGCAAGAUGUGCCUUAUUUUGUGUCCAUUAAAUGUAGAAAUGACAGAAGAUGUUUAAAGUUUUGAUUUUGAUUGUUUACUAGAACUUGAACUGUAAUAAUGGAGUUGUAUUCAUAUUUUUGAGGACUGCUAUUUGAAAAUGGGGAUUUUGUAAAUUUGAAGUUGACUAGCAGUCAUUUUGCUGAAGGAGUUUCCAUUAGUAUUUGAGUCUAGCACAAUACAUUUUUUUGAGUAGAUU
This is a long non-coding RNA of Micropterus salmoides (largemouth bass), 2775 nucleotides long. RefSeq lists it as uncharacterized. The record is from RefSeq and is a predicted model, not a curated record. The transcript is spliced from 3 exons. NCBI's taxonomy places the organism in Eukaryota, Metazoa, Chordata, Actinopteri, Centrarchiformes, Centrarchidae.